This is a non-coding RNA of Nomia melanderi (Alkali bee), 788 nucleotides long. NCBI's taxonomy places the organism in Eukaryota, Metazoa, Arthropoda, Insecta, Hymenoptera, Halictidae. The record is from RefSeq and is a predicted model, not a curated record.
UGAAAGCAAACAACUUAGAAUGACUUACUUCAUUAAAUCGGGACGAUCUCAUAUCUUGUAAACUAUUGUGACCUGGUAUUAGCGUUAUAGCAUAAAGUAUUAGUAGAGUGACUACACUGAUACUAAAUCCCAAUGACAAGUUUGGACCACGUGGAUUAAAAAUUCUGCCUCUUCUUAAACUUAAUACAAAACAAAGAUGAACAACCCAUGCUAAUCCUUCAGUACCUGCCACUAAGUAAUCAAUAGGUUUGGCAGAUGUUGCACUAUCUUCAAUUGUGUCUGAUAUUGGAUCGUAAUCUUGCGUAUUAAAGGAAGGAUUGCAAGGCACGCUAUAAUUAAAAUUCUCAGGUUUAUGACAGAAUUAGAGCCAUGAAGACGAAGGGAAUAUGAAUUUCUUUUUCCACAAUGAUAUGCAGAUAUUAUUGCAAUACAGACUAAAACAGGAAUCUGAAAGUUACAAGAAAAAUAUUCAAUAAAUAUAAAAUUACUGAUAUUCUAACAUACAUACAAUAUACAUUAAUGUAUUAACGUUGAAUCACCUGGAGGCAUAGUUGUUGAAAGCACACAUCAAGAUCAUGCGUCUCUGGAUUCAAUGGUUUAAUGCCUCCAUGAUAUCCACAUAAUUCUGUCCAAUUCCAUUUCCAUGACUCUCCAAUUCCAUCAGAUAACCAAUUAUUAUCCAUAUUUUAUAGCUAUAAAAAAUUUUGAAUAGAAACAGGGGAUUGGAAAUGUAUUCAUAAAUCCAGAAAGAAAUUAAAAUAAAAUUCACUUUACACAUUAAAAAUGUA